GGAAGCUUUAAAAACUUAUAUUUUCCUGAAUUCGAAACUUAGAACUUUAAAAGUAUGGCUUUGUAAAAUUUUCUGGAAGAGGAAAUCCUUAAAAUUUAUGAUGUGAUGAAAUGGACGUAUUUAUGGAUAGAUGGGAAAGAAGCGAGUGUGCUCGUUUAAUCGUAUUCACCAGAGCUCAGUGUCGCAUAUAUAGAUCAAACUAUUCGAUGUAAGUGUCAAACCGAAAGAUUUAAAUAAAUGAAAAUACAAUUCAUGUAAUAGUCUUUUUUUUCAAUUCAGUUCAAAAGCUCAAAAAGCUCGAUCGCAUGAGACAAUCGUUAGGCUUGACGAAGCGAAUAUUUCUGUCCUUGUGCGGAUAUGGACUUCACUUUGGUUCAUUUGAUCAAACUUUUUUUGGGGAUGUAUCCCACGCAAAAAAUGUUUUUAUCCUAUACUUUAUUUUACAAAAAUUGCACAACUCUGAUUCAAAUUCAACUAAAAAUUGUUUUAUUUUGUACAAGAGUCUUUUAAGGGCUAUAGGUCCAGAUCGUAGUGUCAAACAUACCUUCAAUAUUUUCUACGAUGCAUAUAAUAUAAGUGAGGAAUAGGUGAUAUAAAAUAAAGAGAAAAGUAUAUAAAGUAUACAAGUUCCACAGUAAAUGUGAAUAUUUAUGCACACCGAAAAAAAGUGAAGUUGAUUUAACAUUCUGGAUGUAAAAAAAGUGUGCGAGAACUUGAAAAAAAGCUGAAUUACCCGCUGCAGCAGUUACUUUAACAACGCCAAAAUGUAAAACUAUAACUAAUGCUGUGCCGGGUGAUAUACCAUUUUUUAAGUUCUCGCACACUUCUUUUACAUCCAGAAUGUUAAAUCAACUUCACUUCAACCUACAGCUUAUCCUCCUCUAUGAAAACGGUUGAUUUCAAACAAUGAUUAUAAAAACCCCGCUGAAGCAGGGCUCGUCCCACUUUCACUCAAUUAAAGUCCUCUGAUCACUGAUCCGUGUAAUUUUUCAGAAGGAAAUUGCCAGCCACAAAUCACCGGCGAAAAUAAGCGACGUCAAUUUCCCACUAGAGUUUUCGAGGGAAAAUGCGUGGCGAUGCCAGCGCCAAUUUAUCUUGGAUCGUGAUUAUUUUUCGUCUCGCGUGGGCGGGGGAGGCGCUGCCUGGUGUAACGAUGAAGAGAUUUUAUUAAUUCUAUAUAUUUCUCAAAAAGUAAUACCUGUACAUAGAGCGUACAUUUUAUGAUUUAUAAAUUUAUAAAUAAAUGGAUUAAGGCUAGGCGCAAUAAAUUUCAGGGCGGACGAACUGAGGUAAGGAGCGCGCACCGGGCAACGGGGUUCCAGCAUGAGAAAUUAACACAAAAAGAAUUAGUACAGUACUCGGUGUGUUUUUAAUGAAACACAUAAAUUAUAUUAAUGUAAUUAACAAGAUACAUCACACUGCGUUCCUUGUAUUCUUUCCUCUCUCCUCCGUCCUUCCUCCGCCUUCUCGCUCGCUCUCCGCCUCCUCCUUCUCCGGGGACAUUUCAGUUUUGUUUUAGCGCGCCGAGGCCGCCCAUCCCUUCGUCCCCUCCCCUCGGCCCUGUGCCCCCGUGUUUACUUACUUACGCCUGUUUCUUGCCACAUUUAUGACUCCUCAUUUUUAAUCCACCCCCCGAGACAUUGUGAUGAUUUAGACCGCGUCGUGGGAAGAUGAAGUCGAGCGGAAGACAACCAAUCAGAAUCCAGCUGGAGCGACUCCCACUCGGUGAUUGGUCACCUGACGACUAGAGCGGCUGCGGUUUUGAAAUUACAGUUAUCUUGAGUUGCAGAGCAUACUAGUCACCAAGAAUUUACAUAUAGGUGGCUAAGGAACGGUACCGCCUUCUGCAAAAGAGACUAUUUGCAAGAUGAAGAAAAAAUUGAAAACUAAAAAAAAACUUUUCUAUGUGGACUAGGGUAUAUUAGCAUGCGCUCUCCCGUGGAAACAGGUCACAUUUGGAGAGUGAAAAUUCAAAACCUAUAGUAAGUGCCAUCAUGCACGCAGAAGUGGCCACAAAUUGUGCUACUGCUUCUGUCGUUAAAUUAGAAUCCAGAGGCUUGAGAAUGUCGAAUCUUCAUAAAAAAAGACCGAAGUUGAGAGACAAUUUUUGCUUGGAAGAAUCCACGAAGAAAUGGCACUAAGGUUCUUAGACAGCGACGAACACUACACACAAUUGUAGCCACUCCCACGCCUGAUGGAUCUUAUCAAAUUUGGAAUUUAUUUUUUUCAUCUGUCCCCGCCAAUAUGUCGAAAAGUACAAAAUCACUUAUCUCCCUUUGAGACGUUGCAGACUUAAUGUCAUACUUUACCUUCCUUUGUAAAACUAACAAACGUGAAUUUUUAAAAACUUCCUUAGAUUUUGAACUAUCUGUUAGCAGCGUAUACUGUGUAAAUAUCAAGCUAUGAAGUUGGUGGCAAGUCAUUUUUUCUAAAACAUUAUUCCCUACCUUCAGUUUUCCUAAUACUUAUCUCCUCAUCGUUUUUGUUCCAUUGCAGUUAGUCCUGCGAAUGAAAUGUACUACUGGCUUUUUUUUGGCACUUUACAAAAAAAAAUUGAAAUUGAAAAGAGCCAGUGUGACAUUUCAUUCGUAGGACUUACUAUAAUGGGACAAAAAACGAGUAGGAAAGAAGUAUUAGGAAACCGAGUGGUAGGAAAAUUCGUUUUAAGGAAAACAACCUAGCACCAUAAAGUUGGCUUGUUUUUCAUCGAAAAUAGCUGAAAGGAGCGGAAAUUUUGAAACACGGAAAUGGCGAUACGUAGCUCUACACUUUACCUACCGAUAAGAU
This 2787-nucleotide long non-coding RNA is filed under the name Bemisia tabaci. Its description in RNAcentral is "lncRNA ENSSSA1NGG006545". The record is from RNAcentral. Lineage: Eukaryota; Metazoa; Arthropoda; Insecta; Hemiptera; Aleyrodidae.